This 378-nucleotide ribosomal RNA is filed under the name uncultured bacterium. RNAcentral's name for it is "bacterial SSU rRNA". It matches the Rfam family "Bacterial small subunit ribosomal RNA", at positions 521 to 896 of the family's 1533-position model. The record is from RNAcentral.
UGAUACGUAGGGUCCGAGCGUUGUCCGGAAUUAUUGGGCGUAAAGGGCUUGUAGGCGGUUUGUCGCGUCGGAAGUGAAAACUCAGGGCUUAACCCUGAGCCUGCUUCCGAUACGGGCAAACUAGAGGAAUGCAGGGGAGAAUGGAAUUCCUGGUGGAGCGGUGGAAUGCGCAGAUAUCAGGAGGAACACCAGUGGCGAAGGCGGUUCUCUGGGCAUUUCCUGACGCUGAGAAGCGAAAGCGUGGGGAGCAAACAGGCUUAGAUACCCUGGUAGUCCACGCCGUAAACGGUGGGCACUAGGUGUGGGACUCAUUCCACGAGUUCCGUGCCGUAGCUAACGCAUUAAGUGCCCCGCCUGGGGAGUACGGCCGCAAGGCUA